Copidosoma floridanum is the source of this 940-nucleotide long non-coding RNA. The record is from RefSeq and is a predicted model, not a curated record. NCBI's taxonomy places the organism in Eukaryota, Metazoa, Arthropoda, Insecta, Hymenoptera, Encyrtidae.
UAAAGGGUUUUUUUAAUAUUUAUUCUUCACAAUGGAGGGACAGGCAACAGUCACUCAACGCUCUCAUGAAAACUUGGUGCAAUGUGAUGCUGAUAGUACAGUUAAUAAUAAAAAUGAAGUUCAAACUUGCUCAAAGUUAACAAGUGCGCAGCUCAUCAUAUUCCAAACAUACAAUACAAAUGUGUUUGAUGGUCUACAAUUAUUCAAAUGAAGUGAAUUACGAAGGUUAAGGAAUUGCAUGAAGCUGUAAAUGUGACCUGGGUACCUCCAGUCCAGCAGCUCACCAACUUUCCAAUUUUGGAUUUCAGUUUUAGUACUCUAAUGCCAGUUUGUAUUUGUAUUCUCUCAAUCUGGAGCAGCCAGGUUAUGAUAUAUAACUAAAGACCAGUGUGCCAAGUGAUCAAUGGUUAAGGAGUUGCAUGAAGCUGUAAAUGUGACCUGGUCACCUCUAGUCCAGCAGCUCACCAACUUUCCAAUUUUGGAUUUCAGUUUUAGUACUCUAAUGCCAGUUUGUAUUUGUAUUCUCUCAAUCUGGAGCAGCCAGGUUAUGAUAUAUAACUAAAGACCAGUGUGCCAAGUGAUCAAUGGUUAAGGAGUUGCAUGAAGCUGUAAAUGUGACCUGGUCACCUCUAGUCCAGCAGCUCACCAACUUUCCAAUUUUGGAUUUCAGUUUUAGUACUCUAAUGCCAGUUUGUAUUUGUAUUCUCUCAAUCUGGAGCAGCCAGGUUAUGAUAUAUAACUAAAGACCAGUGUGCCAAGUGAUCAAUGGUUAAGGAGUUGCAUGAAGCUGUAAAUGUGACCUGGUCACCUCUAGUCCAGCAGCUCACCAACUUUCCAAUUUUGCUUGGAUGCAGGAACAGCUGCUCAGCAGUUGGAUGUCAGUUUUAGUCCUGUAAUGUCAGUUUGGAUUUGUAUUCUCUCAAUCAAUACCAGUGUGCCA